RNAcentral lists this ribosomal RNA (406 nucleotides) under uncultured bacterium. Its description in RNAcentral is "partial 16S ribosomal RNA". It matches the Rfam family "Bacterial small subunit ribosomal RNA", at positions 30 to 526 of the family's 1533-position model. The record is from RNAcentral.
AUUGAACGCUGGCGGCAGGCCUAACACAUGCAAGUCGAACGAGUGGCGGACGUGUGAGUAAUUUCUGGGAAACUGCCCGAUUGAGGGGGAUAACUACUUGAAACGGUAGCUAAUACCGCAUACCAUCGGAUGUGCCCAGAGGGGAUUAGCUAGUAGGUAGGGUAACGGCUCACCUAGGCGACGAUCCCUAGCUGGUCUGAGAGGAUGACCAGCCACACUGGGACUGAGACACGGGCCAGACUCCUACGGGAGGCAGCAGUGGGGAAUAUUGCACAAUGGGCGAAAGACUGAUGCAGCCAUGCCGCGUGUAUGAAGAAGGCCUUCGGGUUGUAAAGUACUUUCAGCGAGGAGGCGUUACUCGAAGAAGAAGCAACGGCUAACUCCGUGCCAGCAGCCGCGGUAAUAC